GUACUUGCCUGGCAGGGGAGAUGCCAUGAUCACCAGGGUGGUUCUCCCAGGGCCAGGCUUAUCCAUUGCACUCUGAAUGUGCUGACGCCUGUGAUUUCCCCAAAUGUCGGAAACUCAAUUGGACAAUUUAUAGUAGUGGGGGAUGUGUUUAAACUUUCCUUUA
This 163-nucleotide small nuclear RNA is filed under the name Microcebus murinus (gray mouse lemur). RNAcentral describes it as "U1 spliceosomal RNA (ENSMICG00000018344.3)". It matches the Rfam family "U1 spliceosomal RNA". Rfam says of the family: U1 is a small nuclear RNA (snRNA) component of the spliceosome (involved in pre-mRNA splicing). Its 5' end forms complementary base pairs with the 5' splice junction, thus defining the 5' donor site of an intron. The record is from Rfam by way of RNAcentral. Lineage: Eukaryota; Metazoa; Chordata; Mammalia; Primates; Cheirogaleidae.